RNAcentral lists this ribosomal RNA (485 nucleotides) under uncultured bacterium. Its description in RNAcentral is "partial 16S ribosomal RNA". It matches the Rfam family "Bacterial small subunit ribosomal RNA", at positions 28 to 507 of the family's 1533-position model. The record is from RNAcentral.
AUUGAACGCUGGCGGCAUGCCUUACACAUGCAAGUCGAACGGCAGCGGGCCCUUCGGGGUGCCGGCGAGUGGCGAACGGGUGAGUAAUGCAUCGGAACGUACCCGGGAGAGGGGGAUAACCGGCCGAAAGGCUGGCUAAUACCGCAUGAACUCGGAAGAGCAAAGCGGGGGACCUUCGGGCCUCGCGCUCUCGGAGCGGCCGAUGUCCGAUUAGGCUAGUUGGUGGGGUAAAGGCCCACCAAGGCGACGAUCGGUAGCGGGUCUGAGAGGACGAUCCGCCACACUGGGACUGAGACACGGCCCAGACUCCUACGGGAGGCAGCAGUGGGGAAUCUUGGACAAUGGGCGCAAGCCUAAUCCAGCAAUGCCGCGUGGGUGAAGAAGGCCUUCGGGUUGUAAAGCCCUUUCGGCGGGGAAGAAAUCGGUCAGGCGAAUAGUCUGGCCGGAUGACGGUACCCGCAGAAGAAGCACCGGCUAACUACGUG